GCCACUGUUCUGGGAGGUGGCUGCAGGAAAGCUUCUGAGGUUCCUUCCAAUCUGGCACCUGCAUUUGUGAGACAGGCCAGCGGAGCUCAGCGAGGAAAUUGUAGGGCAAGUAACAACAAACAAUUGCACACCAUUUGACUGACACAAUGCUGUGGGUGAGAGAUGCGGCAGGUCCAGAAAUACUAACUGAGGCUGACCUCACAGAGCCAGCCCACUUAGACGCAGGACGAUUCAUUUCUCGUAAAUGCGGGUGACCUGAGCAGCGUGAGAUCCAUGAGGUGUUUUCCAGAAGCAGUUUCCAGGAAAAUUCAAUCCUGCCUGCAUUGACCAAGGCCACCUCCUCUCUAAGCUUGGCCUGGCAUUCAUUGCUUUACACGAUGUGCAAACUCAAUAAAACAUACUACUAUU
Molecule: long non-coding RNA, 408 nt
Organism: Canis lupus familiaris (dog)
Lineage: Eukaryota; Metazoa; Chordata; Mammalia; Carnivora; Canidae
Exons: 2
Source: RefSeq, a predicted model, not a curated record